Molecule: non-coding RNA, 93 nt
Organism: Guyanagaster necrorhizus
Lineage: Eukaryota; Fungi; Basidiomycota; Agaricomycetes; Agaricales; Physalacriaceae
Source: the annotation of a RefSeq genome assembly
CCAACCUUAGCUUAGCUGGAAGAGCAUGAGACUGUAAUUGGAUGUCUUUAUUAACCUAUCUCGAGGCCGUGCGUUUGACCCGCACAGGUUGGA